UAGAUACCCUAUUAUUUUGGAUUUAAAUAUUUAAGCUUGAGUAGUAUUAGUUAUGAUCUUGAAACUUAAAGAAUUUGGCGGUAUUUUAGUCUGGUUAGAGGAAUCUGUCCCGUGAUCGAUAAUCCACGUUGAACCUUACUUAAUAUAAUUUAAUAUGUAUAUCGCCGUUUAUUUGAAGAUCUUUUUAGGGAAUCUUCUUUAAAUUUUAAUUAAUUUUAUUUCAGGUCAAGGUGCAGUUAAUAAUUAAGUGGUGAUGGAUUACAAUAUUUAUAAAAUAAAUGAAUUAGAAUUUGAAAAUAUUUUAUGAAGGGGGAUUUAACAGUAAUUAAUAAUAAGAAUUAUUUUUGUGAUAUUAGCUCUGAAAUGUGCACACAUCGCCCGUCACUCUCGUUAUUAAGAUGAGAUAAGUC
RNAcentral lists this ribosomal RNA (410 nucleotides) under Geoscapheus dilatatus. Its description in RNAcentral is "partial 12S ribosomal RNA". Lineage: Eukaryota; Metazoa; Arthropoda; Insecta; Blattodea; Blaberidae. The record is from RNAcentral.